Molecule: non-coding RNA, 78 nt
Organism: Phytophthora infestans T30-4
Lineage: Eukaryota; Oomycota; Peronosporomycetes; Peronosporales; Peronosporaceae
Source: the annotation of a RefSeq genome assembly
UCUCCUAUAGCUCAGUUUGGUAGAGCGUGCCGGCUGUUAAUCCUCAAGGUCGCUGGGCUCAAACCCAGCUGGGGAGAG